Molecule: non-coding RNA, 279 nt
Organism: Callorhinus ursinus (northern fur seal)
Lineage: Eukaryota; Metazoa; Chordata; Mammalia; Carnivora; Otariidae
Source: RefSeq, a predicted model, not a curated record
ACAGACUAAGCCACCCAGGAACUCCGUGUUCUCUUUUUUAAGGCAUUCAAGGACUGCUUGUUGAGCAAGUGACCCAAAGCAUGUACAUCUCCCAGCUCUGCCACUUCUACUUCUGUCCCUUUGCACAACUUGCUGAGUUUCCUUCUGUUCACCCACAAAUCAGGAAGAAUACUGCUGGCCUGGCAAGGUUAUUGUGCGCCCUAAGAAGAUACUGAAACGAAGCAGGGGCUCUGACGGUGGUCCAGAUUGUUGGCUGUCAUUAAAUGCCAGCUUUGAAGA